This 216-nucleotide long non-coding RNA is filed under the name Elaeis guineensis (African oil palm). RNAcentral's name for it is "long non-coding RNA (EGUI_LNC014091)". Lineage: Eukaryota; Viridiplantae; Streptophyta; Magnoliopsida; Arecales; Arecaceae. The record is from RNAcentral.
UGGGGUUAUGUUUAGAAAAAAAAUAAAUUUAAUGGUGAAUUAGUGAUAGAUUUGUGAUAAAAUUUAUGAUAGAUUUGUGAGAGAAUUUUGUGAUGGAUUUAUUCUGAAUGUUAUGAUGGAUUAGUGAUGGAUUUUAUGAUGGAUUCAUCAGAAAUUUAUGAUGGAUUUAUUCUAAAUAUUGUGAUGGAUUUGUGAUGGAUCAAUGAUGGAAUGUUG